GACGAACGCUGGCGGCGUGCCUAAUACAUGCAAGUAGAACGCUGAAGGAGGAGCUUGCUUCUCCGGAUGAGUUGCGAACGGGUGAGUAACGCGUAGGUAACCUGCCUGGUAGCGGGGGAUAACUAUUGGAAACGAUAGCUAAUACCGCAUAACAGUAGAUAUUGCAUGAUAUCUGCUUGAAAGGUGCAAUUGCAUCACUACCAGAUGGACCUGCGUUGUAUUAGCUAGUUGGUGAGGUAACGGCUCACCAAGGCGACGAUACAUAGCCGACCGGAGAGGGGGAUCGGCCACACUGGGACUGAGACACGGCCCAGACUCCUACGGGAGGCAGCAGUAGGGAAUCUUCGGCAAUGGACGGAAGUCUGACCGAGCAACGCCGCGUGAGUGAAGAAGGUUUUCGGAUCGUAAAGCUCUGUUGUAAGGGAAGAACGAGUGUGAGAGUGGAAAGUUCACACUGUGACGGUAUCUUACCAGAAAGGGACGGCUAACUACGUG
This 495-nucleotide ribosomal RNA is filed under the name uncultured bacterium. RNAcentral describes it as "partial 16S ribosomal RNA". It matches the Rfam family "Bacterial small subunit ribosomal RNA", at positions 28 to 507 of the family's 1533-position model. The record is from RNAcentral.